GAUGAACGCUGGCGGCGUGCCUAAUACAUGCAAGUCGAGCGAACAGAUGAGGAGCUUGCUCCUCUGACGUUAGCGGCGGACGGGUGAGUAACACGUGGAUAACCUACCUAUAAGACUGGGAUAACUUCGGGAAACCGGAGCUAAUACCGGAUAAUAUAUUGAACCGCAUGGUUCAAUAGUGAAAGACGGUUUUGCUGUCACUUAUAGAUGGAUCCGCGCCGCAUUAGCUAGUUGGUAAGGUAACGGCUUACCAAGGCAACGAUGCGUAGCCGACCUGAGAGGGUGAUCGGCCACACUGGAACUGAGACACGGUCCAGACUCCUACGGGAGGCAGCAGUAGGGAAUCUUCCGCAAUGGGCGAAAGCCUGACGGAGCAACGCCGCGGGAGUGAUGAAGUUCUUCGGAUCGUAAAACUCUGUUAUUAGGGAAGAACAAAUGUGUAAGUAACUAUGCACGUCUUGACGGUACCUAAUCAGAAAGCCACGGCUAACUACGUG
This 497-nucleotide ribosomal RNA is filed under the name uncultured bacterium. Its description in RNAcentral is "partial 16S ribosomal RNA". It matches the Rfam family "Bacterial small subunit ribosomal RNA", at positions 28 to 507 of the family's 1533-position model. The record is from RNAcentral.